CUGGACUAUAACGUAGGCAGUUGUUGGGUCUUCCUGUCUCAAGCUUUUCCCUGCUUUCUCUAGUCCAUUCAUCUAAAGUGCAUGUCUGAUCAUGUCACCCUCUACUCAAUAAACUCCCUAUUGCUUCCAGGUGCAAAUACAAAAUGCUGUUUGGCAUUCAAAGACCUUCAUAAUCCAGCCAUCUCCUACAUUUCUGCAGGCCAAUUCAAUCCUGAAUGCUGUGAGUUUCCUGUUUCAGUAGUUACAGAUGGUACAUGUACCCAAGAUGGCUUUAUGGACUUUGAGGUCUACAGCCACCAAACUUGGCCAGCCUUGAACCUGGAAACGCUUCAGAGAUGGUCUCUACAGCAGUGACCUUAGGAGUCCAAGGUCUUCGAAUCUCACCCACAAGCUGGGGCUCUGGUCCCUUCUCCCAAGAGAUCUUAUGUCCUGAGGUCUCCAGUUCCUGAGGCUCUUUUCCCCCUACUCUUCCACAUCUGUGUAAGAGAGAAAUUUGUAAGAGAGAAAUCUUUGGCAGAAAUCGGCUGCAAAGUGGAAGGAUGGAGGAGGUGCAAGAGGAAAAAACUCAAGAUUCCAGUCAGAAGACAAGAAGCUGGGGGAGCUCCAACUGAUAUUGGGCAUACUCCUCCAGCUGAAAGCUUUGAGAAGAGGAUCUUCUAAGCUGGGCUCUGGAUAUCAACUGUUUCCCAGUGAAAUCUCUCACUCAGCUUAAGAUAUCAUAGGCUGGGACUUUGAAGGAAGCCAUUUACUAAGAAAUCUCUCCAAAGAUCUAUUCUCCAUCUCUCUUCUUAACUUGUCCUGGACUCCAUUACUCAAAUUAGGUUAGCCCAGGAAUAGGGACCAAAACAGCAGCUGACUGAAGAGAGAUCAAUGCCGAGAGCCUGGACCCCAAGAUUUUUUUUGGGGGGGUCAGUCUGCCAGUCAAUAGGGAUUUUUGCUACUCACUUUCCUCACCUAAUACCUUCAUCUCUCCCUUCCCUGAGUGAAUCCAAAUAAAAAGUGUUUACUACUUAGAUCGGGUCUGCCU
RNAcentral lists this long non-coding RNA (1027 nucleotides) under Monodelphis domestica (gray short-tailed opossum). RNAcentral's name for it is "lncRNA (ENSMODG00000049722.1)". The record is from RNAcentral. Lineage: Eukaryota; Metazoa; Chordata; Mammalia; Didelphimorphia; Didelphidae.